UUUCCGUAGGUGAACCUGCGGAAGGAUCAUUAAUGAAUUCACUUUUGAAGUUGUUGCUGGCCUCUAGGGGCAUUUGUGCACGCUUCAUCAGUCUUUCAAACCACCUGUGAACCUUUGAUAGAUUCGUCUUCAAGUUUUGGCUGAGUCCGAUUUAAAAGGGGUUUUACCCCUGUCGGUGGCUGACUUGGGCGAUUCUAUAUUACAUACCCCAAACGCAUGUCUUACGAAUGUCAUUGAUUGGGCCAUGUGCCUAUAAAAUCUAAUACAACUUUCAACAACGGAUCUCUUGGCUCUCGCAUCGAUGAAGAACGCAGCGAAAUGCGAUAAGUAAUGUGAAUUGCAGAAUUCAGUGAAUCAUCGAAUCUUUGAACGCACCUUGCGCCCCUUGGUAUUCCGAGGGGCAUGCCUGUUUGAGUGUCAUUAAAUUCUCAAAUCUACAAGGGUUUUGCUCUUCGUAGCAUUUGGAUUGCUGGGGGUUGCUGGCUUGUAACCGAGUCGGCUCCUCUUAAAUGCAUUAGCAGGACUUUUGUUGCCUCUGCAUCAGGUGUGAUAAUUAUCUACGCCGAACGCAUGCAAUGAUCAUGAGUUCCAGCUCUCUAAUCGUCCUGUUCUCUAAGGACAAUUACUUGACCAUUUGACCUCAAAUCAGGUAGGACUACCCGCUGAACUUAA
This 672-nucleotide ribosomal RNA is filed under the name Pleurotus giganteus. RNAcentral's name for it is "eukaryotic LSU rRNA". The stretch from base 267 to 420 matches the Rfam family "5.8S ribosomal RNA". The record is from RNAcentral. Lineage: Eukaryota; Fungi; Basidiomycota; Agaricomycetes; Agaricales; Pleurotaceae.